CGGUUAUUGCCCUAGUACGGCGAGUGAGCGGCACAGCUCAAAUUUGAAAUCUGGCUCUUUUAGAGUCCGAGUUGUAAUUUGCAGAGGGCGCUUUGGCUUUGGCAGCGGUCCAAGUUCCUUGGAACAGGACGUCACAGAGGGUGAGAAUCCCGUACGUGGUCGCUGGCUAUUGCCGUGUAAAGCCCCUUCGACGAGUCGAGUUGUUUGGGAAUGCAGCUCUAAAUGGGAGGUACAUUUCUUCUAAAGCUAAAUAUUGGCCAGAGACCGAUAGCGCACAAGUAGAGUGAUCGAAAGAUGAAAAGCACUUUGGAAAGAGAGUCAAACAGCACGUGAAAUUGUUGAAAGGGAAGCGCUUGCAGCCAGACUUGCUUGCAGUUGCUCAUCCGGGCUUUUGCCCGGUGCACUCUUCUGCAGGCAGGCCAGCAUCAGUUUGGGCGGUAGGAUAAAGGUCUCUGUCACGUACCUCUCUUCGGGGAGGCCUUAUAGGGGAGACGACAUACUACCAGCCUGGACUGAGGUCCGCGCAUCUGCUAGGAUGCUGGCGUAAUGGCUGUAAGCGGCCCGUCUUGAAA
This 572-nucleotide ribosomal RNA is filed under the name Alternaria breviramosa. Its description in RNAcentral is "partial large subunit ribosomal RNA". It matches the Rfam family "Eukaryotic large subunit ribosomal RNA", at positions 69 to 659 of the family's 3401-position model. Lineage: Eukaryota; Fungi; Ascomycota; Dothideomycetes; Pleosporales; Pleosporaceae. The record is from RNAcentral.